GCAAGUGAUGACUUGAACAUUCUUCACUUUGACCUGACUAAUCAGUGAUGAUAACCUUCAGUCUGAGC
Anabas testudineus (climbing perch) is the source of this 68-nucleotide small nucleolar RNA. Ensembl annotates it as small nucleolar RNA SNORD37. The record is from Ensembl. NCBI's taxonomy places the organism in Eukaryota, Metazoa, Chordata, Actinopteri, Anabantiformes, Anabantidae.